AGGAGAGAGCGCGCGAGCAGAGGGGCUGCUCCGGCGCGCCAUGGGGAACCGCGCCGCCGGGAGAGGCCGCAACCGCUGGGGAGGGGCUGCGCAGGGGGCGCGGACGCCGGAGAGGGGGGAAGAGGGCUGGCCGCAAGGGAGCCGGACGGGUGGAGGAGAGCGUGGCGGUCUUCGGCGGGCACGACCGCACGCCGGGCUUCCUGGCCUCCUCCCGCCGCAGGAAGAAGCCGCAGCACCGGGCAACGCGCGGAGCUUCCGCCGGGCUGUUGCCCGCGUCGGGGCCGGGGUGGGCACGCCCGCGCAAGGGACACGCGCACCCGCGCCGCGCGCCGUCGGAGCCGGGGGCUGCCGCGCCGAGGCUGGGCAGCCACGCCCGCAGCUCCCGAGCCUUCUCCUCCGUCAUCACCCCCACGAACGGCCUCCGCGACGCCUCGUCCUGCGCCGCCGCCGGGGCCGGG
RNAcentral lists this unclassified non-coding RNA (458 nucleotides) under Zea mays. Its description in RNAcentral is "misc RNA Zm00001eb068740". Lineage: Eukaryota; Viridiplantae; Streptophyta; Magnoliopsida; Poales; Poaceae. The record is from RNAcentral.